Molecule: ribosomal RNA, 919 nt
Filed under: Siboglinum sp. associated bacterium
Lineage: Bacteria
Description: bacterial SSU rRNA
Rfam family: Bacterial small subunit ribosomal RNA
Source: RNAcentral
AGAGUUUGAUCAUGGCUCAGAUUGAACGCUGGCGGCAUGCCUAACACAUGCAAGUCGAACGGAAACGAAGCUAGCUUGCUAGCAGGCGUCGAGUGGCGGACGGGUGAGUAAUGUAUAGGGAUCUGCCUGAUAGUGGGGGACAACGUGUGGAAACGCACGCUAAUACCGCAUACGCUCAACGGAGGAAAGUGGGGGACCUUUCGGGGCCUCAUGCUAUCAGAUGAACCUAUAUUGGAUUAGCUAGUUGGUAAGGUAAAGGCUUACCAAGGCGACGAUCCAUAGCUGGUUUGAGAGAAUGAUCAGCCACACUGGGACUGAGACACGGCCCAGACUCCUACGGGAGGCAGCAGUGGGGAAUAUUGCACAAUGGGCGCAAGCCUGAUGCAGCAAUGCCGCGUGUGUGAAGAAGGCCUUAGGGUUGUAAAGCACUUUCAGACGUGAGGAAAGGUUAAGGUUUAAUAGAUUUUAACUAUGACGUUAACGUCAGAAGAAGCACCGGCUAACUCCGUGCCAGCAGCCGCGGUAAUACGGAGGGUGCAAGCGUUAAUCGGAAUUACUGGGCGUAAAGCGCGCGUAGGCGGAUAUAUAAGUCAGAUGUGAAAGCCCUGGGCUCAACCUAGGAACUGCAUUUGAAACUGUAUAUCUAGAGUAUGGUAGAGGUGAGUGGAAUUUCAGGUGUAGCGGUGAAAUGCGUAGAGAUCUGAAGGAACAUCAGUGGCGAAGGCGACUCACUGGGCCAUUACUGACGCUGAGGUGCGAAAGCGUGGGUAGCAAACAGGAUUAGAUACCCUGGUAGUCCACGCCCUAAACGAUGUCAACUAGGUGUGUGAGAGUUUAACUCUUGCGUAUCGAAGCUAACGCGAUAAGUUGACCGCCUGGGGAGUACGGCCGCAAGGCUAAAACUCAAAUGAAUUGACGG